Molecule: ribosomal RNA, 254 nt
Filed under: uncultured bacterium
Lineage: Bacteria
Description: partial 16S ribosomal RNA
Rfam family: Bacterial small subunit ribosomal RNA
Source: RNAcentral
UACGUAGGGUGCGAGCGUUGUCCGGAAUUAUUGGGCGUAAAGAGCUCGUAGGCGGUGUGUCACGUCGGCCGUGAAAACCUGCAGCUUAACUGUGGGCGUGCGGUCGAUACGGGCAUCACUGGAGUUCGGCAGGGGAGACUGGAAUUCCUGGUGUAGCGGUGAAAUGCGCAGAUAUCAGAAGGAACACCGGUGGCGAAGGCGGGUCUCUGGGCCGAUACUGACGCUGAGGAGCGAAAGCGUGGGGAGCAAACAGG